AUGCUUCCCCAAGAUACCAGAAUGAGCAAAAUCUUAUUAAAACAACAAAGUAAGGAACAAGUCAGUUUCCAUGAAAGACCACAAUAUAUGUAUCUUCUUCGUCUUAAGUGAACUAAGUAAGAAAAUGUGGAUGUCAAAGGAAGAAAAUGACAUUAGACGAGUAUUAUUUUAUGCCUGAAGUAUACCACUUUACAUGGUGGCUUUUAGAAUUCUGAUUUACAGAAAACUCUUCUUGUUAUAGAGAGAAAAUAGCUAUAGCAGCCAAUUAAAGAAUCAAACUCCUUCCUUAAAAUGUACCAGAAUCUUAACAAAGUCCACUAAAAUAUGGCUUUUAGGAGGACAUUAGCAAUUGUUAGUUGAAAUGCCAAAUAAACCACUAAAACUUUCCA
RNAcentral lists this long non-coding RNA (389 nucleotides) under Anas platyrhynchos platyrhynchos (common mallard). Its description in RNAcentral is "lncRNA (ENSAPLG00000023633.1)". The record is from RNAcentral. Lineage: Eukaryota; Metazoa; Chordata; Aves; Anseriformes; Anatidae.